GACGAACGCUGGCGGCGUGCUUAACACAUGCAAGUCGAACGGAAAGGCCCUGCUUUUGUGGGGUGCUCGAGUGGCGAACGGGUGAGUAACACGUGAGUAACCUGCCCUUGACUUUGGGAUAACUUCAGGAAACUGGGGCUAAUACCGGAUAGGAGCUCCUGCUGCAUGGUGGGGGUUGGAAAGUUUCGGCGGUUGGGGCUGGACUCGCGGCUUAUCAGCUUGUUGGUGGGGUAGUGGCUUACCAAGGCUUUGACGGGUAGCCGGCCUGAGAGGGUGACCGGCCACAUGGGUACUGAGAUACGGCCCAGACUCCUACGGGAGGCAGCAGGGGGGAAUAUUGCACAAUGGGCGGAAGCCUGAUGCAGCAGCGCCGCGUGCGGGAUGACGGCCUUCGGGCUGUAAACCGCUUUCGCCUGUGACGAAGCGUGAGUGACGGUAAUGGGUAAAGAAGCACCGGCUAACUACGUG
RNAcentral lists this ribosomal RNA (468 nucleotides) under uncultured bacterium. Its description in RNAcentral is "partial 16S ribosomal RNA". It matches the Rfam family "Bacterial small subunit ribosomal RNA", at positions 28 to 507 of the family's 1533-position model. The record is from RNAcentral.